RNAcentral lists this long non-coding RNA (350 nucleotides) under Equus asinus (donkey). Its description in RNAcentral is "lncRNA (ENSEASG00005027469.1)". Lineage: Eukaryota; Metazoa; Chordata; Mammalia; Perissodactyla; Equidae. The record is from RNAcentral.
AAAUAACUAGUUCAAGGUCUCAGUGGAAGAGCCAAAAUAGAAUGCAGAUCUUUCUAUCUCCAGAACCCAAACAACUGAACACACUGCCUUCCAUUUGGGAGCCUCAGGGGACACUGGAGAAGAAGCUAAUUCUGCUGUCUGAGAAUUAUCUGCGUCUUGCUAGCAUGAAAAGGUUGCUGGAGGCGUUGAAUGAAAUGGAGCACACCAAGUGUUUAACACAGUACCUCCUAUAUUAUAGUUAAUCAUUAUGGGUGUAAUAAUAAUAUCAUAAUUAUUGCCAUAUAUAAUUAUGUUAUCAUUGUUAUUAUUGCUAUUGCUACUGUUUGUUCACCUUGAAAAAAAAUAAAAAA